This 231-nucleotide long non-coding RNA is filed under the name Trifolium pratense (red clover). RNAcentral's name for it is "long non-coding RNA (TPRA_LNC008916)". Lineage: Eukaryota; Viridiplantae; Streptophyta; Magnoliopsida; Fabales; Fabaceae. The record is from RNAcentral.
GGAGAGAAUGUGUUGGUGGUGGUGGAGAGGAGGAAGGUGAUGAUGAAUGAAGAAGAGUUGAAGUUAGCAACAAGUGGAUUUAUGAAGGAUUGGGUGUGGCUAAAGGAAGGCCUACGUGGCUUUCUCUUAACGUUUGAUUCGUUUCACAUCGGUCCUAGAUUCAUGUCUUUGUAGUUUUUUUCGGUUUUUCCUUGUAUUAUAUCCACAUAUGUUAUUCACCAAAAAAUACAA